This 75-nucleotide transfer RNA is filed under the name Candidatus Woesearchaeota archaeon. Its description in RNAcentral is "tRNA-Glu". It matches the Rfam family "tRNA". From Rfam's summary of the family: Transfer RNA (tRNA) molecules are approximately 80 nucleotides in length. Their secondary structure includes four short double-helical elements and three loops (D, anti-codon, and T loops). Lineage: Archaea; Nanobdellati; Candidatus Woesearchaeota. The record is from RNAcentral.
GCCUCCUUGGUGUAGUCCGGCCAAUCAUAUUGCCCUCUCGAGGCAAUGACUCGGGUUCAAAUCCCGGAGGAGGCA